RNAcentral lists this ribosomal RNA (480 nucleotides) under uncultured bacterium. RNAcentral's name for it is "partial 16S ribosomal RNA". It matches the Rfam family "Bacterial small subunit ribosomal RNA", at positions 28 to 523 of the family's 1533-position model. The record is from RNAcentral.
GACGAACGCUGGCGGCGUGCCUAACACAUGCAAGUCGAGCGAAUGAAGUUCCUUCGGGAACGGAUUUAGCGGCGGACGGGUGAGUAACACGUGGGCAACCUGCCUCAUAGAGGGGAAUAGCCUUCCGAAAGGGAGAUUAAUACCGCAUAAGAUUGUAAUAUCGCAUGGUACAGCAAUUAAAGGAGCAAUCCGCUAUGAGAUGGGCCCGCGGCGCAUUAGCUAGUUGGUGAGGUAACGGCUCACCAAGGCGACGAUGCGUAGCCGACCUGAGAGGGUGAUCGGCCACAUUGGGACUGAGACACGGCCCAGACUCCUACGGGAGGCAGCAGUGGGGAAUAUUGCACAAUGGGGGAAACCCUGAUGCAGCAACGCCGCGUGAGUGAUGACGGCCUUCGGGUUGUAAAGCUCUGUCUUCAGGGACGAUAAUGACGGUACCUGAGGAGGAAGCCACGGCUAACUACGUGCCAGCCGCCGCGGUAA